GAUGAAGAACGUAGCGAGACGCGAUAUGUAAUGUGAAUUGCAGAAUUCAGUGAAUCAUCGAAUCUUUGAACGCACAUGGCGCCUUCCAGUAUCCUGGGAGGCAUGCCUGUCCGAGCGUCGUUUCAACCCUCGAGCCCCCGUGGCCCGGCGUUGGGGAUCUGCCCAGGCAGUCCCCGAAAACCAGUGGCGGACCCGUUACAGGCCCUUCCCUUGCGUAGUAGCAUUCGCCUCGCAUCGGGAGCCGGCGGGCUUCCAGCCUCUAAACCCCCAUCAAGUCCGCCCCGGCGGCACCAAGGUUGACCUCGGAUCAGGUAGGAAUACCCGCUGAACUUAAGCAUAUCAAUAAGCGGAGGA
RNAcentral lists this unclassified non-coding RNA (354 nucleotides) under soil metagenome. RNAcentral describes it as "partial contains 5.8S ribosomal RNA, internal transcribed spacer 2, and large subunit ribosomal RNA". The stretch from base 1 to 120 matches the Rfam family "5.8S ribosomal RNA", at positions 35 to 154 of the family's 154-position model. The record is from RNAcentral.